GUGUUUGGUUGGUAGCAAUACACUUAAAAAAUAGAACAAUAUAGAAAAGAGUAACAUGGCACCUGGGCAAGGAUGACUUACAAAGUUAUGAAAUGUUCCACAUAUUU
Small nuclear RNA from Gracilinanus agilis (Agile Gracile Mouse Opossum), 107 nucleotides. The record is from RefSeq and is a predicted model, not a curated record. NCBI's taxonomy places the organism in Eukaryota, Metazoa, Chordata, Mammalia, Didelphimorphia, Didelphidae.